Long non-coding RNA from Harmonia axyridis, 832 nucleotides. RefSeq lists it as uncharacterized. The transcript has 3 exons. Lineage: Eukaryota; Metazoa; Arthropoda; Insecta; Coleoptera; Coccinellidae. The record is from RefSeq and is a predicted model, not a curated record.
GGUUUCUUAAAGCUCUUAUCAUAUAUAUAAUUGAAUUUAAUCUGGUUGUAAGCGUUUCACAAUGUACUGACCAGUUCAAAUGCUUAUCGAUAUAUACUCCGAGUAGUUUAGUUUGGGAGCCUAUCUGAACUGUUCCAUUAUCAAAAGUUAUAUUGUCCGGAACUUUCAAGUUAGAACGACUACUCAAAAAUAUUACAACACUUGUUUUGUUCAAGUUUAGCCGCAAGCCGCAGUCAUCACACCAGUUCUCGAUCAUAGACAUAGAUGUUGUUAAAUUGGUCAUCACUCUUUCAAUAACUUUGGAAGAUACUAUAAUGUUGGUAUCGUCAGCAUAAAGAUAAGUAUCGACAACUUCUUCGGCUGUCAGUUUGAGCUGUAGUGGCUGACUUUCUUCUUGUGGUUGAAAAAUAUUAGUGAAACCAUGUUGUUUAGUAGUGAGAACAUUGAACUUCCUGAAGAAUUUCAGAAUCCUAUUUGACAGAAUUUUCUCAAAAAUUUUAGCGAAUGAGGAAGGCAUGACAAUUGAUUUCUUCAGAGCGUCAGGAAAUAUGCCGGAUCGGAAAGCAGAAUUGAUCAGAAAACAAACUGGCUUCACUAUAUGUAUGAAAUGGCGCUUGAUCAAUGUCAUCGGAACACCAUCAUAUCCAAAAGAGCGUUUAUUAUUCAUCAUUUUGACAACAGAAAAAAUCUCACUCUCUGGGACUUCGAACAAACAAAAUGAGUUCAAUACUGUAGAUUGUUUAUUACAGUCAGUGGUAGGGCAGGCGUUAAAUCCAUGAUUUGGGUUUGAUAUAUUAAUAAAGAAGUCAUUAAAUCUGUUUGCUAAAAGAAA